This 733-nucleotide long non-coding RNA is filed under the name Apis mellifera (honey bee). Its description in RNAcentral is "uncharacterized LOC102655515, transcript variant X2". The record is from RNAcentral. Lineage: Eukaryota; Metazoa; Arthropoda; Insecta; Hymenoptera; Apidae.
AUGCGAUGCAUUUGUAUUGACCAAGCCUUUCGGCCGAUCCCACCAUUGCUUUGUGCUGAUAAGCAUACCUACGCUAUGCAACUUAUAUGCAUGAUUGAGCAUACGCGUGGUAUAUAGGGAAUUCUCAAGAUAACUCAUGAAAUUCCAAAGGAUGAAUAGUUCUACAAGUCUUAGUAAUGUAACUGAAAAAGGAUAUUUAGGUCAUUGGUAAAUGGCCAUAUUCAGACCAAUCAAUGAAUCAAGUUUAUAAAGGAAGAAAAAAAAAAACAAAGGAAAAAACAAAAAAAUAUCUACAUUUUCAUUACAUACUGUACAAAAAUGUACAAUAUAUACCAUAAUUAGAUUAGAAGGAUUCCUGUUGCACGUGCCAGACUACUUGGAUUAAAUAACGUCUACGAAGGUGCGUCGACGUGACACUGCAGUAGUUUACUACACCGCAUUAUUUUAGACAUCAACAGGGUAUGUUUUCAGCUUCAAACAUUAUUGGGAUUGUCAUAUAAAAAUAAAUUUAACAGUUUAUCAUUGCAAAAUAGUUUCACAAGAAUAGAAUAAAGUUUUACUAUAGAGUUCUGUAGAUAAUUUUAACAUUCAUAUCAUUAUUUUAUUAUACUGAAGAAAAAUUUUGUCCUGCUCCAUCUCAUUUUAUUCAAAUGAGUUCAAAAUACGUUUUCAAAAGCUUGAUGAUGAAUUUUUUUAAAUUAUAUAAUUCAAUCAAUUACUUUUCAGUUUUAAA